This is a long non-coding RNA of Panicum virgatum (switchgrass), 857 nucleotides long. RefSeq lists it as uncharacterized. The record is from RefSeq and is a predicted model, not a curated record. The transcript is spliced from 2 exons. NCBI's taxonomy places the organism in Eukaryota, Viridiplantae, Streptophyta, Magnoliopsida, Poales, Poaceae.
AGCAAUAUACAUAAAUACGUUAUUAAGCUGGUGAUCGUGAACUCCAUCACAACGUGUUUGUUAUGCAUGCCAGAUGGACGACUGGUAUGCAUCCCCACCCCUAUAAAAAGGUGCCACGCUACUGAGCUCCUCAAGCUUCUUCACCCACUCAUAGUCCAAUAGCUCCUCAUCAAAGCUUCUAUCUGGUCCUUGAAAAAAUUUCCAUACAUGGAAGGCAAAGGGCUUAAGAGUUUCGUUAUCAUUGUGCUCGUCCUGGGUCUAGUUCUUGAACAGACCCACCAGGUGGGAGCUGAACACCCCUGGUGUUGCGAAACUACCCAAGGGAAAAAGUUCUUCAAUGACUGCGUUAAAAAGGGAUUCGAGAUUGGCUUUUGUGCAAGCGGCUCAGGUUGCAUCCUUCAGGUUGACCAUGACAACUGCUUUGGCCGGUGGUCGGUGCCUGCUGGUGAUGAAAAUACCGUGGAUGUCUUAUAAGCAAGUGUGCGCACGCGAUCGAGGGGAUUUCACUCAGAAGUGAAGGUCAAACUGUUCUUGUGUUUGCUACUGAAAGGCCAAUAAUUGUUUGUCAUAUAUUACGACCUCCGUUUUUGUACGUUUGAUGUUAGGACAUCUUGCUUAGUUCAUUUUUGAACUAAACAACAUCCUCUUAAUGUCAAAUACAAAACCGGAGUACGUACGUAUGUCCAAGAUAUAUAGUGUGCCAUGUCAUUUUCAUUCUGCUUCUUUGCGUUCUUGUUUCUUUUCUACCAAUAAGGCCUUUCAUUAUGAUGUUACCUAUUAUACCUUCAAAGUUUGCUCAGCUCAUCGAGUUGUACUGUACCUUUGGAUAAUAAGUAAAGUCGUCACCGAUUGCACCA